This 65-nucleotide non-coding RNA is filed under the name Rhodococcoides kyotonense. The record is from RNAcentral. Lineage: Bacteria; Bacillati; Actinomycetota; Actinomycetes; Mycobacteriales; Nocardiaceae.
AAUACCGGUGGAAAUCCGGAGCGGUUGCGCCACUGUGACCGGACGCGAGUUCGGGAGCCAGAAAA